Molecule: ribosomal RNA, 506 nt
Filed under: uncultured bacterium
Lineage: Bacteria
Description: partial 16S ribosomal RNA
Rfam family: Bacterial small subunit ribosomal RNA
Source: RNAcentral
GAUGAACGCUAGCUACAGGCUUAACACAUGCAAGUCGAGAGGUAACGAGAGGAAAGCUUGCUUUCCUUGUCGACGACCGGCGCACGGGUGAGUAACGCGUAUCCAACCUGCCCCCAACUAAGGAAUAACCUUGCGAAAGUAAGACUAAUACCUUAUAAUUUCCUCAGAUGUCAUCUGACGAGGAAUAAAGAUUUAUCGGUUGUGGAUGGGGAUGCGUCUGAUUAGCUUGUUGGCGGGGUAACGGCCCACCAAGGCAACGAUCAGUAGGGGUUCUGAGAGGAAGGGCCCCCACAUUGGAACUGAGACACGGUCCAAACUCCUACGGGAGGCAGCAGUGAGGAAUAUUGGUCAAUGGGCGGAAGCCUGAACCAGCCAAGUAGCGUUCAGGAUGACGGCCCUAUGGGUUGUAAACUGCUUUUAUACAGGAAUAAAGUUAGCCACGUGUGGUUAUUUGUAGGUACUGUAUGAAUAAGGACCGGCUAAUUCCGUGCCAGCCGCCGCCGUAA